GAUGAAGAACGUAGCGAAAUGCGAUAAGUAAUGUGAAUUGCAGAAUUCAGUGAAUCAUCGAAUCUUUGAACGCACAUUGCGCCCGCUAGUACUCUAGCGGGCAUGCCUGUUCGAGCGUCAUUUCAACCCUCAAGCCCUGCUUGGUGUUGGGGCCCUACGGCUGCCGUAGGCCCUGAAAGGAAGUGGCGGGCUCGCUACAACUCCGAGCGUAGUAAUUCAUUAUCUCGCUUAGGGUGUUGUGCGGUGCUCCAGCCGUUAAAGACCAUCUUUAACUCAAGGUUGACCUCGGAUCAGGUAGGAAUACCCGCUGAACUUAAGCAUAUCAAUAAGCGGAGGA
Molecule: unclassified non-coding RNA, 337 nt
Filed under: soil metagenome
Description: partial contains 5.8S ribosomal RNA, internal transcribed spacer 2, and large subunit ribosomal RNA
Rfam family: 5.8S ribosomal RNA (bases 1-120)
Source: RNAcentral